AGUGAACGCUGGCGGUAGGCCUAACACAUGCAAGUCGAACGGCAGCACAGUAAGAGCUUGCUCUUACGGGUGGCGAGUGGCGGACGGGUGAGGAAUACAUCGGAAUCUACUUUUUCGUGGGGGAUAACGUAGGGAAACUUACGCUAAUACCGCAUACGACCUACGGGUGAAAGCAGGGGAUCUUCGGACCUUGCGCGAUUGAAUUAGCCGAUGUCGGAUUAGCUAGUUGGCGGGGUAAAGGCCCACCAAGGCGACGAUCCGUAGCUGGUCUGAGAGGAUGAUCAGCCACACUGGAACUGAGACACGGUCCAGACUCCUACGGGAGGCAGCAGUGGGAAAUACUGGACAAUGGGCGCAAGCCUGAUCCAGCCAUACCGCGUGGGUGAAGAAGGCCUUCGGGUUGUAAAGCCCUUUUGUUGGGAAAAAAAAGCAGCAGGUUAAUACCCCGCUGUUCUGACGGUACCCAAAGAAUAGGCACCGGCUAACUUCG
RNAcentral lists this ribosomal RNA (490 nucleotides) under uncultured bacterium. Its description in RNAcentral is "partial 16S ribosomal RNA". It matches the Rfam family "Bacterial small subunit ribosomal RNA", at positions 29 to 505 of the family's 1533-position model. The record is from RNAcentral.